CAUGAGUAGCGAUAAUUAAUGUGAGAAUCAUUAACGCCGUAAACCCAAGGUUUCCUACGCGAUGCUCGUCAUCGUAGGGUUAGUCGGGUCCUAAGUCGAGUCCGAAAGGGGUAGACGAUGGCAAAUUGGUUAAUAUUCCAAUACCAACAUUAGUGUGCGAUGGAAGGACGCUUAGGGCUAAGGGGGCUAGCGGAUGGAAGUGCUAGUCUAAGGUCGUAGGAGGUUAUACAGGCAAAUCCGUAUAACAAUACUCCGAGAACUGAAAGGCUUUUUGAAGUCUUCGGAUGGAUAGAAGAACCCCUGAUGCCGUCGAGCCAAGAAAAGUUUCUAAGUUUAGCUAAUGUUGCCCGUACCGUAAACCGACACAGGUGGGUGGGAUGAGUAUUCUAAGGCGCGUGGAAGAACUCUCUUUAAGGAACUCUGCAAAAUAGCACCGUAUCUUCGGUAUAAGGUGUGGUUCGCUUCGUAUUAGGAUUUACUCCGAAAGCGAAGAAACUUACAACAAAGAGUCCCUCCCGACUGUUUACCAAAAACACAGCACUCUGCUAACUCGUAAGAGGAUGUAUAGGGUGUGACGCCUGCCCGGUGCUCGAAGGUUAAUUGAUGGGGUUAGCAUUAGCGAAGCUCUUGAUCGAAGCCCGAGUAAACGGCGGCCGUAACUAUAACGGUCCUAAGGUAGCGAAAUUCCUUGUCGGUUAAAUACCGACCUGCAUGAAUGGCGUAACGAGAUGGGAGCUGUCUCAAAGAGGGAUCCAGUGAAAUUGUAGUGGAGGUGAAAAUUCCUCCUACCCGCGGCAAGACGGAAAGACCCCGUGGACCUUUACUACAGCUUGACACUGCUACUUGGAUAAGAAUGUGCAGGAUAGGUGGGAGGCUUUGAGUAUAUGACGCCAGUUGUAUAUGAGCCAUUGUUGAGAUACCACUCUUUCUUAUUUGGGUAGCUAACCAGCUUGAGUUAUCCUCAAGUGGGACAAUGUCUGGUGGGUAGUUUGACUGGGGCGGUCGCCUCCCAAAUAAUAACGGAGGCUUACAAAGGUUGGCUCAGAACGGUUGGAAAUCGUUCGUAGAGUAUAAAGGUAUAAGCCAGCUUAACUGCAAGACAUACAAGUCAAGCAGAGACGAAAGUCGGUCUUAGUGAUCCGGUGGUUCUGUGUGGAAGGGCCAUCGCUCAAAGGAUAAAAGGUACCCCGGGGAUAACAGGCUGAUCUCCCCCAAGAGCUCACAUCGACGGGGAGGUUUGGCACCUCGAUGUCGGCUCAUCGCAUCCUGGGGCUGGAGCAGGUCCCAAGGGUAUGGCUGUUCGCCAUUUAAAGCGGUACGCGAGCUGGGUUCAGAACGUCGUGAGACAGUUCGGUCCCUAUCUGCCGUGGGCGUAAGAAGAUUGAAGAGAUUUGACCCUAGUACGAGAGGACCGGGUUGAACAAACCACUGGUGUAGCUGUUGUUCUGCCAAGAGCAUCGCAGCGUAGCUAAGUUUGGAAAGGAUAAACGCUGAAAGCAUCUAAGCGUGAAGCCAACUCUAAGAUGAAUCUUCUCUAAGCUCUCUAGAAGACUACUAGUUUGAUAGGCUGGGUGUGUAAUGGAUGAAAGUCCUUUAGCUGACCAGUACUAAUAGAGCGUUUGGCUUAUCUUUAAUAAAGCAU
This 1642-nucleotide ribosomal RNA is filed under the name Campylobacter coli. RNAcentral describes it as "partial 23S ribosomal RNA". It matches the Rfam family "Bacterial large subunit ribosomal RNA", at positions 1301 to 2925 of the family's 2925-position model. The record is from RNAcentral. Lineage: Bacteria; Pseudomonadati; Campylobacterota; Epsilonproteobacteria; Campylobacterales; Campylobacteraceae.